Molecule: long non-coding RNA, 511 nt
Organism: Aedes aegypti (yellow fever mosquito)
Lineage: Eukaryota; Metazoa; Arthropoda; Insecta; Diptera; Culicidae
Exons: 3
Source: RefSeq, a predicted model, not a curated record
ACCAUCCACUGACUUUACCUGACUAAGGUAACAGUUACCGGUUCAUAAAUGAAAGUAAUAUGUUUCUUCGAUAAUUUUCACUGCGUCAACCUAUCGACCUUACGUGAAAUCUACGUACAUGCUUUAAUUCAUUCCGAACGUGUUCAUUCUUCGAUUCAUUUAGUGUUGUGAUCAAUUGUAAAGAUGGCGUCAAGUGAAAAUAAACAUCAAGAUUUGGUGGACUUCCCAUUUUUUGAUUGAUUGAAAGAUCAUCGGGCCAUUUUUCUGAGUCGCAUCUUUGCUAGCAAUGCGGGUCAGAUUGGUACGUGGUAUUGGAAGAGCUGGCGCAGGUCAACUAUGGUUAUCCCGUUUUUUUUAAAUAUAAGCAAACGUUGGCUGUAAUUGUGUGCCGAAGGAUUUCCGAAAAUAUCGAGCCGAAAACAUACAACAAAACCAGACUUGUUACCAGAUUUUCCGAUACUCCAGCAUUGUGUGAAAUAUCGAUGGUUCAAUAAAUAAAAGUAAGAAUUAA